GGCCCUUUGUACUGUCGCGUGAAAGUACUCUGCUCAUAACAGAUGUAAGGUGGGUUAGACUCCCACAAGGGCCACCA
Molecule: transfer RNA, 77 nt
Filed under: Pectobacterium phage vB_PcaM_CBB
Lineage: Duplodnaviria; Heunggongvirae; Uroviricota; Caudoviricetes
Description: Pectinobacterium phage vB_PcaM_CBB tRNA-Met
Source: RNAcentral